CCUUUCUUUUUUCUUUUCUUUUUUUUUCUUUUCUUUCUUUUCUUUUCU
This 48-nucleotide non-coding RNA is filed under the name Palpitomonas bilix. The record is from RNAcentral.